Osmerus eperlanus (European smelt) is the source of this 1416-nucleotide long non-coding RNA. RefSeq lists it as uncharacterized. The record is from RefSeq and is a predicted model, not a curated record. The transcript is spliced from 4 exons. NCBI's taxonomy places the organism in Eukaryota, Metazoa, Chordata, Actinopteri, Osmeriformes, Osmeridae.
GUUAGUUCCCUUUUUUUCCCUCACACUGCCUGGACUCCUAAAUUCUGCUCCCCAGGACGAUCCUAAACCCGAGUUCUCAGAACACUGUCCUCCAUGCUCAGGGAGUGCAUGUUCACCUAGGAACCAGUGUCCCUGUAUUCUCUUGCUGGCCCCACUUCUCACCACCCUUACCAUGGGCGACAAGCAGGGUGUGGACCUGGCUCUGAGCCUUCCCACCUGUGAGGAAACACUCUGUAACAAGAGAGGAAGCUGCGUCACCGUUGACAACCAGAUGGGAUGUGAGUGCAUGCUGGGAUACCAGGGUCCGAACUGUGCGGACACCGUGAACGAGCAUCUGAGCCUGCCCCUGACGCUGGGGGUGCUGUCCAUCAUCUUUGCCUGCAUCUUCCUCGCCUUCCUCUUGGCUCAUCUAAGCCGAAGACGCAAAGCUUGGCGCAGGGUCGAUGCCCUGAAAGAGAGUAAUGGUGUGUAGAGAGGUACCCUCAACCCUGGACACUUCUAGGAUACACGCCUAACUCACGAGCUCAUCAGUCCAGCACGAAGAAUGGGUUUCAUCAUCUACAAGACAGCUGCUGUUUCUACUUCUAAAGACAACCGGAUUCAUCAAGAACACCUUUUAAUUGCCAAACAACACUAUAGACGUGCAUUUAGAUUGAGGUUCUGAACAGAAAGCAUUGUUGCGCUAUAGAUUGGAUCAAAGGGGAUUUUACUGCGGGUGCAGCGGGUGCAUUUGCACCCCCUUCUGUUGGGAUGAAAACAUAAAUAUUUUAAUGUAAAAAAACUAUGAAAUGUUUUUAGAACAUUAAGUGAUGUCAGAGUUGUAUGUUCUAUCAUGGUUUGUUCUACUCUAAUGAUUAAUUUUAAAUUUUAAGAUCUAGUAUUCAUUUUGAGCAUGUUUUUGUAAGCACAAAUAAGUCAAUCACUGUACGCUUUGCACCCCCAGUUUUAAAACCUAAAAUCGCCUAUGGACUGGAUAUUGGAAGCUGUGCAUUUUGGGAAGUGUACUUCUGGUAGCUGUGUCCCUCAACAGACUUGCUUUCUUUAUACCUCAGUGCCUGCUUUCCAUCCUAGGAAAUGUAGGUUGUCUUUCGGUAAAUAUUUCACUGAUCUCAGUGUUCUGCCUGAAACAAACAGCUCUGUCUCUCUAAACUAUAUCGGGAACGUACAUUCCGCUGCUCCCUGACUGCACCGAAACUCAAUUUGUAAACACACUUAUUGUCUGACAGGUGAAGGACAAGUUCUCAACUGGUCUGACUGCUGUCAUUCCUCUAGUCAGACGUGAUGCCUGUAUGCAAAACAAACCUAUUUAUAAGAUGACUAAUGUUUCAUGAACUGUCCAAGCAAACAAAGGUUCUUAAAAAUUCCUGUUUAAUUUUUGUAAUAAAUUGUGGAAAUAAAGAUGUAUUUUGGACAGAC